GGCAGGCCUAAUACAUGCAAGUCGAGCGGCCCUUCGGGGCAGCGGCGGACGGGUGAGUAACGCGUGGGAACGUGCCCUUUGGUACGGGAUAACUGAGGGAAACUUCAGCUAAUACCGUAUGUGCCCUACGGGGGAAAGAUUUAUCGCCAUUGGAGCGGCCCGCGUUGGAUUAGCUAGUUGGUGGGGUAAAGGCUCACCAAGGCUACGAUCCAUAGCUGGUCUGAGAGGAUGAUCAGCCACACUGGGACUGAGACACGGCCCAGACUCCUACGGGAGGCAGCAGUAGGGAAUCUUGCGCAAUGGGCGAAAGCCUGACGCAGCCAUGCCGCGUGAAUGAUGAAGGUCUUAGGAUUGUAAAAUUCUUUCACCGGGGAAGAUAAUGACGGUACCCGGAGAAGAAGCCCCGGCUAACUUCGUGCCAGCAGCCGCGGUAAUACGAAGGGGGCUAGCGUUGCUCGGAAUUACUGGGCGUAAAGGGCGCGUAGGCGGAUGUUUAAGUCGGGGGUGAAAGCCCGGGGCUCAACCUCGGAAUUGCCUUCGAUACUGGACAUCUUGAGUACGGGAGAGGUGAGUGGAACUCCGAGUGUAGAGGUGAAAUUCGUAGAUAUUCGGAAGAACACCAGUGGCGAAGGCGACUC
Molecule: ribosomal RNA, 638 nt
Filed under: uncultured Alphaproteobacteria bacterium
Lineage: Bacteria; Pseudomonadati; Pseudomonadota; Alphaproteobacteria
Description: bacterial SSU rRNA
Rfam family: Bacterial small subunit ribosomal RNA
Source: RNAcentral